Molecule: ribosomal RNA, 801 nt
Filed under: uncultured bacterium
Lineage: Bacteria
Description: bacterial SSU rRNA
Rfam family: Bacterial small subunit ribosomal RNA
Source: RNAcentral
UGACGAGUGGCGCACGGGUGCGUAACGCGUGUGCAACUUACCUCUAACUGGAAGAUACCCUUCCGAAAGGAAGAAUAAUACUCCAUUAUAUUUCGAUGUGGCAUCACAUUGUUCUUAAAGCUUCGGCGGUUAGAGAUAGGCAUGCGUCUGAUUAGCUUGUUGGUGAGGUAACGGCUCACCAAGGCAACGAUCAGUAGGGGGCCUGAGAGGGUUAUCCCCCACACUGGUACUGAGACACGGACCAGACUCCUACGGGAGGCAGCAGUGAGGAAUAUUGGUCAAUGGACGCAAGUCUGAACCAGCCAUGCCGCGUGCAGGAUGAAUGCCCUAUGGGUUGUAAACCUCUUUUUUCAGGGAGGAAUAAAAUGACGUGUACCUGAAGAAUAAGCAUCGGCUAACUCCGUGCCAGCAGCCGCGGUAAGACGGAGGAUGCAAGUGUUAUCCGGAAUCACUGGGCGUAAAGCGUCUGUAGGUGGUUUAAUAAGUCAACUGUUAAAUCUUGAGGCUUAACUUCAAAAUCGCAGUCGAAACUAUUAGACUAGAGUAUAGUAGGGGUAAAGGGAAUUUCCAGUGGAGCGGUGAAAUGCGUAGAGAUUGGAAAGAACACCGAUGGCGAAGGCACUUUACUGGGCUAUUACUGACACUCAGAGACGAAAGCUAGGGUAGCAAAUGGGAUUAGAUACCCCAGUAGUCCUAGCCGUAAACAAUGGAUACUAGAUGUUGGACAGAUCGACCUGUGCAGUAUUAAAGCUAACGCGUUAAGUAUCCCGCCUGGGAAGUAUGCUCGCAAGAGUGAAACUC